Molecule: ribosomal RNA, 373 nt
Filed under: uncultured bacterium
Lineage: Bacteria
Description: bacterial SSU rRNA
Rfam family: Bacterial small subunit ribosomal RNA
Source: RNAcentral
GGUGAACGCUGGCGGCGCGCUUAAUGCAUGCAAGUCGAGCGUGUCCGUGGCUUCGGCCACAAUGGAAAAGCGGCAGACGGCUGAGUAACACGUGAGUAACUUGUCCUUUGGUGGGGUAUAACCUCGGGAAACUGGGGAUAAUCCCGCAUAAGACCCGUAAGCUCUGGUUUACGGGUGAAAGCUUAAUGCGCCAGAGGAGAGGCUCGCGACCUAUCAGGUUGUUGGUGAGGUAAUGGCUCACCAAGCCGAUGACGGGUAGCUGGUCUGAGAGGAUGACCAGCCAGAGGGGGACUGAGACACGGCCCCCACUCCUACGGGAGGCAGCAGCAGGGAAUCUUGGGCAAUGGGCGAAAGCCUGACCCAGCGACGUCGC